GACGAACGCUGGCGGCGUGCUUAACACAUGCAAGUCGAACGAUGAAGCCGGAGCUUGCUCUGGUGAAUUAGUGGCGAACGGGUGAGUAACACGUGAGUAACCUGCCCUUGACUCUGGGAUAACUGCGGGAAACUGUAGCUAAUACCGGAUACGACCCUCGGAGGCAUCUCCUGGGGGUGGAAAGAAUUUCGGUGAAGGAUGGACUCGCGGCCUAUCAACUAGUUGGUGAGGUAAAGGCUCACCAAGGCGACGACGGGUAGCCGGCCUGAGAGGGUGACCGGCCACACUGGGACUGAGACACGGCCCAGACUCCUACGGGAGGCAGCAGUGGGGAAUAUUGCACAAUGGGCGCAAGCCUGAUGCAGCAACGCCGCGUGAGGGAUGACGGCCUUCGGGUUGUAAACCUCUUUUAGCAGGGAAGAAGCGAAAGUGACGGUACCUGCAGAAAAAGCACCGGCUAACUACGUGCCAGCCGCCGCGGUAA
RNAcentral lists this ribosomal RNA (484 nucleotides) under uncultured bacterium. RNAcentral's name for it is "partial 16S ribosomal RNA". It matches the Rfam family "Bacterial small subunit ribosomal RNA", at positions 28 to 523 of the family's 1533-position model. The record is from RNAcentral.